RNAcentral lists this transfer RNA (64 nucleotides) under Liodessus sp. ABTC75365. Its description in RNAcentral is "tRNA-Leu". The record is from RNAcentral. RNAcentral also lists the same sequence under 5 other names. Lineage: Eukaryota; Metazoa; Arthropoda; Insecta; Coleoptera; Dytiscidae.
AUUACUUUGGCAGAUUAGUGUGGUAAAUUUAGAAUUUAUUUAUGUAAAUUUUUUACAGGUAAUA